Molecule: transfer RNA, 77 nt
Filed under: Staphylococcus pseudintermedius
Lineage: Bacteria; Bacillati; Bacillota; Bacilli; Caryophanales; Staphylococcaceae
Description: tRNA-Asp
Rfam family: tRNA
About the family: Transfer RNA (tRNA) molecules are approximately 80 nucleotides in length. Their secondary structure includes four short double-helical elements and three loops (D, anti-codon, and T loops). Further hydrogen bonds mediate the characteristic L-shaped molecular structure. tRNAs have two regions of fundamental functional importance: the anti-codon, which is responsible for specific mRNA codon recognition, and the 3' end, to which the tRNAs corresponding amino acid is attached (by aminoacyl-tRNA synthetases). tRNAs cope with the degeneracy of the genetic code in two manners: having more than one tRNA (with a specific anti-codon) for a particular amino acid; and 'wobble' base-pairing, i.e. permitting non-standard base-pairing at the 3rd anti-codon position.
Source: RNAcentral
GGUCCCGUAGUGGAGCGGUUUAACACGCCUGCCUGUCACGCAGGAGAUCGCGGGUUCGAGUCCCGUCGGGACCGCCA